Rhincodon typus (whale shark) is the source of this 550-nucleotide long non-coding RNA. RefSeq lists it as uncharacterized. NCBI's taxonomy places the organism in Eukaryota, Metazoa, Chordata, Chondrichthyes, Orectolobiformes, Rhincodontidae. The transcript has 5 exons. The record is from RefSeq and is a predicted model, not a curated record.
UUCAGAUUUAUACUGUGCGGGAUACAUCAAUCCAACUGUAACUACGUUUUCGAUUAAUGAGAUCAGAUUACCAGUCGUCCUCUCUGUGUGAUGCUGAUGUAGGGAUGACUUGAACAAUGGCGGCAAUUGGUUUGUGAACCCAAGUCACUAUUCCAUGAACAGAUGAUGACAGAAAAAGUAAAUUGAGAUUUGAUCUCCGGUGAGACAGAAGUGAUACUGAAGAAUAAUACAUAACAUCGAACUGUAGAAUUGACAUGGAUGAAGAAGGACAACAUAGUUUGGAGUGUAUCCAAGCCAAUCAGAUCUUUCCUAGAAAACAGCUAAUUAGAGAAGAAGAAAACCUCCAGGUAUAGAAGAAAAAUGCGGAUUUAAUUGGAAGUACUGUAGACUUUCAGCCAGUUUUCCAUUUACAAAUGAGGUAUUCUGAUACUUUCCAUGGUUCCUUUUCCUGAGCUUCAUGGGGAAAGUACAGAAUACAUAGGACGUGCUGAGGAUGCAGUUAUUGCUCUGUCUAACUACAGAUUGCACAUCAAAUUUAAGGAAACAGUUG